This 420-nucleotide ribosomal RNA is filed under the name uncultured bacterium. Its description in RNAcentral is "bacterial SSU rRNA". It matches the Rfam family "Bacterial small subunit ribosomal RNA", at positions 355 to 787 of the family's 1533-position model. The record is from RNAcentral.
UCGAGAAUCUUCCGCAAUGGACGAAAGUCUGACGGAGCGACGCCGCGUGAUGGAUGAAGUCCCUCUGGGACGUAAACAUCUUUUAUGAGGGAGAAAGUUUAUUGAUAGUACCUCACGAAUAAGGGGUUGCUAAACUCGUGCCAGCAGCAGCGGUAAUACGAGUGCCCCGAGCGUUAUCCGGAAUCAUUGGGCGUAAAGGGUGUGUAGGUGGCAUUGUUAGUCACACGUUAAACCCUGGGGCUUAACCCCAGAUCUGCGUGUGAUACGGCAAAGCUAGAGGAUGGCAGGGAUGUAUGGAACUCAUGGAGUAGGGGUGAAAUCCGUUGAUAUCAUGGGGAACACCGAAAGCGAAGGCAGUACAUUGGGCCACUCCUGACACUGAAACACGAAAGCGUGGGUAGCGAAUGGGAUUAGAUACCC